UACGGAGGGUGCGAGCGUUGUCCGGAAUCACUGGGCGUAAAGGGCGCGUAGGCGGCGCGGGGAGUCAACGGUGAAAGCUCGGCGCUCAACGCCGAGUCGGCCGUCGAUACUCCCGUGCUCGAGCACUGUAGAGGCAGGUGGAAUUCCGGGUGUAGCGGUGGAAUGCGUAGAGAUCCGGAAGAACACCGGUGGCGAAGGCGGCUCUCUGGGACGGUACUGACGCUGAGACGCGAAAGCGUGGGGAGCGAACAGG
RNAcentral lists this ribosomal RNA (253 nucleotides) under uncultured bacterium. Its description in RNAcentral is "partial 16S ribosomal RNA". It matches the Rfam family "Bacterial small subunit ribosomal RNA", at positions 524 to 776 of the family's 1533-position model. The record is from RNAcentral.